Molecule: long non-coding RNA, 1017 nt
Filed under: Cyanistes caeruleus (blue tit)
Lineage: Eukaryota; Metazoa; Chordata; Aves; Passeriformes; Paridae
Description: lncRNA (ENSCCEG00000008633.1)
Source: RNAcentral
AAUCUAAGUAAUUUAGUUUCCAUUUUAUAAUAAGGAAAAGAUGGCCCCAGGCUCACAGUUACCAUUUUCUUGAAGGGAUGCUGGAUGUCAAAGCCUGCCUGGGAGCUCAGAGAGACAUAAUGCACUGCUGGACCACAGGCAGUUCAGGUGGGAAAAUCAGGAGUGAGGAGGAGCACAGCAUGGGUACUUGGACUCAGAAGGUCUUUUCCCUGUGGGGGGGACACAGGAUCCCAUACAGAUUGAACUCUACCUGUUCUUACACCUCUUCCUCCUCUCUGGCAGGAAGGCAGCUGGGUGUGGCUGAAUUAGAGUCAUGGCUGAGGGCUGAGAGAGAUGUGAUGGAGCCAUGCACCCACAGAUGUGGAGCCCACAUCUCCAGGGUUUAGGUGGCACGAAGGACAGCUGGCAGCAGAGGCAGUGCAGAUGCAGGACAACAGGAUCAUGUUAGAGGCAGGGGAUGGAUGCUCAGGGGCACAGACCUGCUCAUGUUGUCGUGGCUGCUCAGAGCUCAGGGCUGCCCUGCCCACCUUUGGCCAGAGGAGUCUGCAGGUCACUUCAGUCAGGGAUAUUCAAAGUGGAAAUCUUUCUCUCCAUCUGGGGAAUUGCUUGGUGUCGACUGACAAGGAAAUGGAAGUGCCUAGCAGCAACGAGGACCCUGUUGUGUUCACAGCUGGAACUGCUAAAGGACAGUCCCGGGAUGACAGAGACCUUCACAGAAACCUCACUUCAGUGGGCUGCAACAAACGCUGCUGACAACAGCUCCUAGUGUUUGAAUUACUUUUAGCUUACAACAAAAAGACUUUGUGCCAAAAUUCUUUCCUAGGACCUAACUGGUGCCAAAGGUCUUUCCCUCAAAACCAGUAGCUAAUGAGUGCUCUAGCAGAGUCCAGAAGAGAGGAAAAAUGGCUUGCAAGUCUGAGAACCGUGAGUUUCUACACUGUGCCUGAGUAAAAGUUCAUAUGAGCAUCAUAUUCUUCUCAGAAUAAAAGAAGCAAAAUGAGAAGUAUUGAAUAGAAA